RNAcentral lists this ribosomal RNA (57 nucleotides) under Cordyceps sp. HN-D1. RNAcentral describes it as "partial 5.8S ribosomal RNA". Lineage: Eukaryota; Fungi; Ascomycota; Sordariomycetes; Hypocreales; Cordycipitaceae. The record is from RNAcentral.
AACAACGGAUCUCUUGGUUCUGGCAUCGAUGAAGAACGCAGCGAAAACGAUAAGUAA